CUUCAUGACCCACAUUUCAUGUCUACGGAGCCUCCAAAGAUAAAAGAUGACAGUACAAUACUUGCCGGUAACAAGGCUCCGGCUAUACCUUUUUACAUUCACCAAAAUAAGUCCCAAAACACAAGAACAUGGGCGGCAUGAGCCACACAGGGCCCCGAUGUAAAGGGGCUCACCAAUACAGCCAACAGGAAUAAGGAAGAGCUACGGACAGUGCAUCGGAGUACCUGCUAUAGAUCCACCUAUAAUCAUAACACGAAUGCAGUGCCCCCAAAAAAAGGGAUGUCAGCAUAUUUGAAUUGUACUGGUAUAUAGCAAAAACAUGUCCCAAGUAAACUCAAGUCGUACGCAAAAAGUAAACAACAAUGGAAGUGGCAACCAAACACACAUAGAAGGUACAAUCAAGUAAACAAAGGGGCAAUCAGUGCCCCAGAGGUUACAAGAUCUCAUGCUGUCUCCUUUCACAAUUCCACAUCAAUGAUUUCACAAAUUUGUUCAAGUGUAUAUUUCAAUAGUGAUUUCGAUCACUUUUCCACCCUUAUUCCAUUGUGAUAAAGUUUGAGAGAGUUGAAAACAGUUGAGAGACAGUUUGACAACGUAGUUGAAAGAAUUGAGAGAGAGUUUAAGAAAAAAGUUGGAAGAAUUGCAAGAGUCUUUUGAAAUCAUUUAGACCUUCGCAGGGCAUCACACAAACAGGAGGGAAAAGGGGAAGGGAACAAAUAAGUAAAGUGUACACAGAUAACAUAUUGGAGGAAAGUAAUUAGACAUGGUUGUAAAACAAAAGUUUAGUUCUUACUGUAGCAAACUCUAAUACACUUAGCCUCAAGCAGAGGAUUUAGGUUAACCAGAUAGCCAAACAGACAUGGAUGCAUGGUAGUAGUACACAAGGAAAAUAGACUAGUAAAUAACAUGCUAGUGACAAGAAGACCAACAAAACCAUCAGUAAAAGCACACAAGGAACAUUAUGAAAUGCAAAAUAAAUAAAAACAUGUUGUUGUGGAAAUUAUAUUUUAAAGGGAUGACAUACUAGUUGCAAGUAAUGGACCACGAUGACAAAAGUGCACAGAGGAACAAGGUGAGCAGAGAGUGUAAGUAGCAGAGAGAAUAACCGCAGUAUGAGAAUAGCAGCAGCAACAGACCCAAGUAAACAAACAAUAGAACCCACUAUUGUAGAAGUAAUCAACCAAAACUACUCAAUCUUGGCUUUCAGCCAAUUCAGUGUUCAAAUAGGAGAAUGAGAGAGGUUGUAUAGAAAACAGUAUAGAGAGAGCACUGAAGGUUUCUGAAAGAACGUUUUUGAGAGAUUGUAUUAGUGAUUGUUUGUGUCAAGUGGGAAGAGAGGAGUAGUACUUAUAGCUUUUUGAAAAAAUAGUAGAGAAUAAGGUAACAUGUACCUAAUUAUAGAACAGUACCAAUUUUACUCUACCACAGGACCUUAACUCCAAUUAAUCUGGUAUUCAUGAUUCGAACGGGAAUGCAGCUAUAUUAUAUAAGGAAAGAAUCAAUCAGACGACUAAUUACACCACAGUAAAUUAGUAGGCCUGUAGUAUGUAAUAGAUGCCACACACAUAAUAUUUGAAUAAGGAACACAUAUACUGAAUAUUGUAAAAAUAUUUAAGAGAACAAAUAUUGUAAGAAUGCAAAAUUAACUCUGAAAUUAGUCAAAGAAUCACGAACGAGACUAAAAAUUAGAGGGAAUCAGUGCUAAUAGAGAGCAUUUCACAAGCAAGGAAAUAAUUCAAGAAAUCUGUGUAAGACCCUUAAAGGAAAACGCAUACAUAUUAGGGAUUCAAAUAGAUGCACAUAGUCAUUUCGAAUAAAAAUUAGACCUAUAAAAACAAUAGUCGUGAAAAAUCAGAGAACAUUAUGCAAGAAAUCAUAGAAGAGUAAAGGGUUGGAACCCUAGUAAAGAAAAGUUUAAAGCAUGGAACUCAGAAACAAACAUGCUAGUAACACAACAACAUAUAAUACAUGCAUACAUAAUAAUCAAAGGAAGCAGGAGAUGUAGAGAUCUUGAAAGGGGGUCGGAAACUUAGCAGGGAAAAUUAAAGUAUGGAACCUAGGUUAACAAGGAAACCAAACAACUAAGUAAGAUAAACAAACACAAACGACCAUAUAGUACUCAGAAAGAGCAGAAGAAAUGAUUUUGAAGAAGGGGGUCAUAAACCCUAAUUUGAAAGAGUAGUAACCAUCUGAAAUUUAAAAAAACUGGAAAUACUAAGUAAAAAUAGAGUAGAAAACAAAAUGAAACUGAGAGUUGUUUUAAAGAUCAGAGAUUAAAGAGGUUUGAGCAGAAAAAAUUAGGGUUUUCAAACAAAUUAGGAAAAACGAAGAACCUGGAUGUGAAACUCGUAUAUAAUGCCAUAGAAGGGAUCAUCGGACAAAAACCACCUGAGAAAAGCCGGCAAAGGACCCAAGCAAAGCCUUCAAUGACCAUAUUUCAUGGGGGAUGUCUUUGGGUUACGAGCUUCAGAGGUGAGCAACGAUGAUAAGGGUUCCAUAGUAACUGGAGAUCGAGAGAAGUGAGGGGGGUAUAGUCGGAGAGGCGACGAGUUUCAUCGGAGAACAAGGAGAGAACCAGAAAUUUCUAGAGAGCAAUUGAUUAGAGAGAGAGAC
Molecule: long non-coding RNA, 2613 nt
Filed under: Nicotiana benthamiana
Lineage: Eukaryota; Viridiplantae; Streptophyta; Magnoliopsida; Solanales; Solanaceae
Description: long non-coding RNA (NBEN_LNC006921)
Source: RNAcentral